GCCUUCGGGGUGUAGUGAUCAGCGCGCUCGACUCGUAUUCGAGAGGUCCGUGGUUCGAGUCUCGGCGAAGGCG
RNAcentral lists this transfer RNA (73 nucleotides) under Stegodyphus mimosarum. It matches the Rfam family "tRNA". Rfam says of the family: Transfer RNA (tRNA) molecules are approximately 80 nucleotides in length. Lineage: Eukaryota; Metazoa; Arthropoda; Arachnida; Araneae; Eresidae. The record is from Rfam by way of RNAcentral.